This 125-nucleotide small RNA is filed under the name Marmota monax (woodchuck). The record is from RNAcentral. Lineage: Eukaryota; Metazoa; Chordata; Mammalia; Rodentia; Sciuridae.
GCCAGGUGCGAUGGCACACGCGUGUAAUCCCAGCAGCUUGGGAGGCUGAGACAGGAGGAUCACAAGUUCAAAGCCAACCUCAGCGAAAGUGAGGCACUAAACAACUCAGUGAGACCCUGUCUCUA